AAAUGCCUUUCCCGGGUGCUCCCACGGCAGGUGCUUCCCCUUCUAGGUCUCUGCCCGGCAUCGCCUCCUGAGAGCCUCACCGGGUCCCCCCAGCACCCCACUCUCUCUCUCACGUGUGCACACCCUCCUCAUCUUGUCACCCCUUUCCUGCCUUCGUUUUUCUUCAAAGUGCUUAUUUCCACCUGAAAAUAUGUUAUAUUGUAAUAACUGUAUUUAUAGAACGUAUAAAUAGUUUAUAAAAUUUACAACAUUGUCUGUUGCUCUGAAGUGUAAGUUCUAGGAGAGCAUGAAUAUUGCCUGAAGGAAAGAUGGAAGGGGAGAGCGAUGCAGGGAGGGAGGGAGGAAGGAAGGAAGGAAGGAAGGAGCCGAGGGUCAGAUCUGCUGGGCGGACACAGGAGGGCGCGGGGAGGUGAACCCCAGGCGCUGGGACAUUCGAGGGGACGGUGGUCUGGCUGGCUCAGAGAUAGGGCACUUUGUGACGUAUGAGGCGGGAGGAUGACUUUUGGAAGAAAAUGUGUGGAGCUUUAAAUACGAGAAAAGGGAGCUGCGGCACCAAGAAGCAGAAUUCAGUAUUGACCCUAAAUCCUCUUCCUUUUCACUGGAAGGCAGGGUAGCUUCUAGAAAAGAGAGGGAGGGUCGAGUCCUGUAGCUCGUCCUCCAGCCUCGUCUGAGCUGCUCUGCCGACCCUCCAGCCCGGCAAUGGGGAGGGUGUGGACCCGGCACCGGGGCCAGGGAGGAGCUGGCAGCGUCACACCCUCUGGAAUGCUGCGGCUGCGAGUAACUCGCUCCAGAUUCGCGCAUUCCCGUCAGAACACGAAACCAGAGGAAAAACCCGUGAGGCCCAGAUUGAUCAGCACAGAACUUAGCAACAGCACAACAGGCUGUGGCCAGCCGCCCUGGCCCGCUAGAGGGGCUUUCCGCCAGGCCCGGGGUUGGGGGACUGGGAGCUGGCUCCACCACCCCGACAGGCUUGCAGGGCCCAAAGGCCCCCCACCACGGGCGUCAGGGUGGAGGCACUGGGGCUCCUGCUGGAACCACGGGGCUCCCAGAGAUGGUCUGAAAUCCCGGUCUUCCCCACGCGCUCCCUUCUAUGGGGUCUGAGAGGAGAAUGCUGACGGGCGUCCCCACGCGCAGCCGUGGUUCACUCUGCUGGUUGGGCAGCCAGGAGCUGACAAGGGCAUGGGGGACUUCUGAGUUUCAGAAACAUCCAGAUGGUCCGGCAUUUCUUGCAGCUGCCACCUGGCCUGGUUGAACCUGCUCGUGGCCUGGCGUGGCCUGCUCGUGCAGUGGCGGGGAGUUAGGGCCGACCCUUUCAGCUGGGGGCCUGGAAGAGCCGGUGAAGGGCCAGAGCCUGGGAUCGCAGCAGCCCCACAUCUGCGCGCCUGACUCACGGACUCUGACAUAGUGACGGUUUGUGCAGCUUGCUAAGGAGAGAGCACCCAGGCCUGUCCUCCAAGGGCCCCGUCUGAGGCCCUAUCUCAGAGGUGCGGUAGUAACAGGAUCCCUCUGGAGCCCCAGCCCCCAGAGGGGAGUCCCUGCCCCACCUACCAGUCUGUGGCCCGUGCACAGUUUCUCCUCCCUGAGUGUCACCGCUUCCUCGCCUGUGAGCUGGGAGGACUAAGUGACCAGUGUGGCUCGUUCCUGGCACCACAUACACGGCAGCCCUCAUUCUGGUUGUUCCCACAUCUUGGCUGUCGUGAAUAGUGCUACAGCGAACAUCAAACUAAAAAGCUUCCACCCAGCAAAGGAGACAAUCAACAGAGUGAAAAGGCAACUACAGAGUGGGAGAAGAUAUUUACCAACCAUGUGUCUGAUAAGGGGUAUAUAGCCAAAGUAAUAAGGAACUCCUACAACUCCACAGCAAAAAAUUGAAUAACUCAAUUGAAAAAUGGACUAAGGACUUGAAUUUUUCCAAAGGAGACACACAAAUGGCCAACAGGUACAUGAAAAGAUGCUCAACGUCACUGAUCAUCAGGGAAAUGCAAAUCAAAACCUUAUACCUGUGAGGAUGGUUGUUACCAAAAAAACAAAGACAAGUGUUGGUGAGGAUGUAGAGAAAUUGAAACCCUCGCACACUGUUGAUGGGGAUGCAAAAAGAUGCGGUCGCUAUGGAAGAUAGUAUGGAGGCUCCUCAAGAAGUUAAAAGUUGACUACCAUAUGAUCCAGCCACCCCACUUCUGGGUACUUAUCCGCAAGAGCUGAAACCAAGCUUUCUUUUGCAGUGGGCAGUACUCUCCUUCCCCAGGUGCCCACUGUCCAGAGGUCCCUGCCUUUCUCUUGCACUCCCUGCCUCGGGCCUGGGGCCUUUGCUGGGGUGCUCAGGAGCUUCUGAGGGUGGGAUUAACAGGCACUGAAGCUCGGUCACCUCCACAACUUCUAAAUUGGGUUUCUCACCAACGAUGUGAAGAUUUCAUGGAACAAGGGGCCUCUGCCGCCACCUGCUGGGCACCUGGGGAAAGGGCUCUUACGCCCCAAGGAGCCCUUCCUGCUGUCUGGGCAUUUAUAAAUGCAUGCCAGCAAUAGCAAUAACAAUAGCUGUGAUUUAUUAAAUGAUUGUCAGACAUUGUA
Equus caballus (horse) is the source of this 2568-nucleotide non-coding RNA. Lineage: Eukaryota; Metazoa; Chordata; Mammalia; Perissodactyla; Equidae. The record is from RefSeq and is a predicted model, not a curated record.